This 326-nucleotide ribosomal RNA is filed under the name uncultured eukaryote. RNAcentral describes it as "partial 18S ribosomal RNA". It matches the Rfam family "Eukaryotic small subunit ribosomal RNA", at positions 1470 to 1796 of the family's 1831-position model. The record is from RNAcentral.
CCCUUAGAUGUCCUGGGCCGCACGCGCGCUACACUGAACGGAUCAGCGCGUUUUCCCUUCCCGAGAGGGACGGGUAACCUGCUGAACCCCGUUCGUGGUAGGGAUCGGGGCUUGCAAUUAUUCCCCGUGAACCAGGAAUGCCCAGUAAGUGCAAGUCAUAAGCUUGCGUUGAUUACGUCCCUGCCCUUUGUACACACCGCCCGUCGCUACUACCGAUUGAACGCUUUAGUGAGGUACUCGGACUGAGCCUCAGAAGAUUCACGUCUUUUGUGCUGCUCGGGAAGAUUCCCAAACUUGAGCGUUUAGAGGAAGUAAAAGUCGUAACA